Molecule: unclassified non-coding RNA, 5114 nt
Filed under: Polistes dominula (European paper wasp)
Lineage: Eukaryota; Metazoa; Arthropoda; Insecta; Hymenoptera; Vespidae
Description: ral GTPase-activating protein subunit beta, transcript variant X2
Source: RNAcentral
GUUUGACAUUAACGACAUAAUUAAUAAGUAAUAUAAAUAAAAGAUCAUUUAAUUGCAUUUUUUCUUGACAUUGGAAAUGAAUAAGAUAAUGCAUUAUCUUAAAACGUACAAUAUAUAUAUAUACACACAUACUAUAUGAAGUGAACAAUAUUCAUUGAAGUGCAUCAAACAAAGUCAUUGAUUUUGUUAAAUUGAACUAAAAAUAAUUUUUGAAUGUAUAGUAUACAAUAAUCUAUGAAUUUAGGCGUAUUCAAUAGAGUCAAUCAUAAAGAUUCCCAAGGAGGAAUGUAUUCAGAAUGGGCUUCUUUAAGCAUUCUGAUUCAACAAGGUUCAGAAGAAAGUCAAAGUGUACUAGAAAAGUUUUCACCUGGAGCAGGAAAAGAAGUCGCAUUAUCUAUAGUACGUCAACUAGCUGCUAAUCUUGGAAUAACUCAAGCAGCAGAACCUAGUCCAUUAUGCACCGAUAAAGAAGUACAAUGGUGUAUGGAAGUUAUUUGUUAUGGUCUUUCUUUACCUUUGGCUGAACAUGAUACUGUUAGAGAUUGCGUUAAUGUAUAUUGUGAAUGGUUAUCCGCAUUAUAUUCUACACCAAAAAUUUCUGUACCAAGACCGAUAAUAGAUGAUCCAAAUUUCUAUGCUAGAAAAAUUAUAAGUCAUUUUCAUAAUUUAUUUAUUCCACGAAAAGGAGAAGUCUGGCCAUUUUUAUAUCAGGAUUUAGGAAGUGAUACUAUAAACAGACAAGCUGUAUUAUGCCAUAGAGUGCUUAGAACACUUCAACAAAUUGCAAGAGGUCCAGCAUCAUUAGAAAGAGAAACUUGGGAAAGUUUAUUAUUAUUUCUUAUUGGAAUUAAUGAUGCAUUAUUAGCACCACCAGCAACAAGGGAAGAUGCUGGUGAACAAUUAUGCGAAAGAGUACUUGGUGUACUAUUAGAGGUAUGGUUGGUAGCUUGUGAACGUAAUUUUCCUGCUCCUCCUUUAUGGCGUACAUUACGAGAGUCAUGUCUUCGUUGGCGACACAGAUUAGCUUUAAUAGAACAAUGGAAUCGUGUGUGUCUAGCACUUACAGCACGACUUUUACAAAUCAUGUAUGGACCAAUGUUUCCAGAAUUAAAAAUAAGCGAAGAGGAUGCACAACUAGUACCACCAACUAUGUCAGAGGAAGCUGUUGCACAAGCAUGGUACAGACUUUUACGAACUAUUGGAGAUCCUGUGGAUUUAUGCAGACCAGCUGUAGUAUCACAAACUCAAGCAUUUUUCCAAUAUGCUAUUGCUAGUCCAAAUGUUAUAGAUCCUUGUCAACAUCCAUGUCUACAAGGAUUGCCACAAAUAUUUUUGAAAGCUAUCAAAGGAAUAGCUGGACAAGUUGAUGCAUUUCUUGGAGUUUCACAAGCAUGUUGCUGGGAAGAAUGUUGUGUAUCCAACAUUGCAUCUGGAAGCAAUAAUAAUGGAAACAUAGGUGUUGGGUGGGACAGAUCGAGUGGCAAGGAUCAACCACAACCUUCCCCUACACCUCCAACACAACGCCGACUUGCCAAAAGUUUCAGUGUUACACCUUCUGCGGUUACUAAGGGAAUACCAAAAGCUUCUUUGAUUAGUUUAACAACCAGUCGUGUGUCUAGUACACCUCCAAUGUUGAUAUCAAAUUCAGGACCAUCGUCAGCAUCUAGUACAACUUCUAUGACCUCACUUGGUCAAGAUAUUCGACCUCCUUUAGCACCAGGAAGACCAAAGUGUAAUAGUAUAUUACAUCUUUUUGGAGAAUGGUUGUUUGAAGCUGCUUUUAUAGGAACAAAUGGAUGGUCACAAAAUUUACCACAGCCAUCAGGUGCAUCAAAACGUCCAUCCUCAGUACUUGUAGAUGGUCCAAGUUCAUUACAAGAAACUGUUAGUGAAGUACCUCCUACACUUUACAUAGAUCGUUAUGAAUCAGGUAGAGCAGAAGCUAUGGGUGCACUGUGUAGAAUUUUUUGUGCCAAAAAAACUGGAGAAGAAAUAUUACCUGUUUAUUUAGCUAGAUUUUAUCAAGCAAUGCAUCAUGGUCUGAAAUUAGAUGAUACAAGAGAGUGUGGCGAAACAUUAGCAUAUAUUCUUUUGAAUUCGUCUGAUUUAUUUCGCUUAGAUUUAAAUGGCGUACAAGUGUUAGUACCUGCAGUAUUAUCUGCCUUGGAACUUGUACUCCCUGAGAAAGAUUUAAAAUUAAAAUCUAAUAUUGUUUCAAAACCAGAUUUAAGAAGAGCUUCAAUACAUUUACUAAUAUCGAUGUUAGCAUUACCCUUACACUUUCAGAAUCUCCCUAUUAAAGAACUUCCAACAUUUCCCAACACAUCUACUGAAAAAACUCAAGUAACUUUUGCACAAUUAAAAUCAAGAUUAAUGAAUUUGCUUAUCAAUGCAUUACAAGUGGAAACUGAUCCUCAAAAUACUCAUAUGCUUCUUGGCGGUCUUUUACUAAGUGUACAAGAUUCUGCUGCAGCAGAGGAAGUUGAACAAGUUACACAACCAGAUGCAGUGCCAAACGAUACAUCAGUUAAUUUAUUAUCUUCAGUUACCAGCGAUUCAGCCAGUCAAAUAAGCAUAUCCAGUGAUCAACGUUCGCUCGGUGAUGCCUCUGAUAUAGCAACUCUUCAAGAGGAAUGCAUUGCAUUCGAUUCGGCACAUGCUCUUUUUGUACGAGCCACAUAUCUAGUUUGUCACAGGUUGAUAUCUUCAUGGAAAACAGAUUUAAAUAUUUCUUUGGCUGCACUGGAAAUGUUAUCAGGAUUGGCAAGAACACGAAUUCGUGAAACAGCAAGGAAACUUACAGAUGCAUUGGAAUGCAAACGAGCUGUAAAAUGGUUAUGUGAUUAUAUAGCAUACCAAUGUUGGCGACCUCCUCCAGCACAUUCCAAAGAUUUACAUUCUUCUAUUGUAGCAGCAUUUGGUUGUUUAACUACCUGGUUAACUGCUCAUUCUCAAUUAUUACAGGAUAAGGAUUGUUUAACAACAGUCUUGGAAGUAGUUGAAUUAGGAGUAUCAGGUACAAAAAGUAUUGGAAAACCAGGUGAACCAAUUAAAAUGAAAGAUGAAAAAGAAUUGAAACCAGCAUCUAUGCGUGUAAGAGAUGCUGCUGAAGCUCUUCUUACAAUAAUAUUGGAACAGGUUGGUUAUUUUCCUAGUGCUUGUGGUGCACAAUCAUUGUCAUCUUUACUCGAUGAAGUUUCAUUGCUUCGACAUUGCAAUAGUUGGACUGGUGGUCGUGUUGCACGACAAGCAGCAGUUGAAAGAUUUCGUUACUUUGUUGCUGAAAAUGCAACAAUUUUAGCUUUAUUAGAAGAACCUCUUGGAAAUGAUCAGGAUCCACAACCAACAGUAACAGUUUUAAUACGUGGACCAUUUGGUAGACAUGCAUGGACUCUACAAUUACGACAUUUGCCAAGACACAGAUCUAGUAUUAGAAGUGUUAAUACAAAUCCUGGUCGACCAUUACCAUUAAAUGAAGCAGCACCAAGAAUGGAUUAUAAACCAAAAUUUUUUCCUGACAAUGUUGAUAGAAUUCCUCACUGUAAAGUUGAUGAGUCAAUACCUAGUCUCGAGGCUGUUAUGAACGAUAACGAAUCAGUUAGAAGUGAACAUGAGUUGUUAUCACAAUUAUUAGAACGUCAGAUAAAUCUAGAAAAAAAGUAUGACGAUGUCAAUAAUAAAGAUACAGAUGAGAAAACUGAAGAAUGUGCACCACCACAAAUAUGUCAUGAAUUCCAAACAGCUCGUUUAUUCUUAAGUCACUUUGGUUUUCUCAAUAUUGAAAACAGAGGUAGCGAAGAGUCUGGAAAUAGUACUCUUACUGCUUUGGAUCCUACUAUUCCAGGAUUUUGUACAGAUUUGGAAACAUUAGAUAAUAUUAGUUCAAGAACCUGUGAUACCGUUCAUAUAUUUUAUGUUAAACCAGGUCAAAAAACAGCACCUGAAAUAUUAUCCAAUGUACUUAAUGAAAAAAAUGUAUCGCCACAUUUUUUGGAAUUUCUCAAUUCACUUGGUUGGCCAGUAUCAGUUUCAUCUCAUGCUGGUUGGACUGGUCAUAUUUAUACCUCAUGGAAAGUAACACCACAAAUGAAUGUUUCACAGUCAAGUACUAAUGAUCAUGGUGGUUCUCUUUACAAUGGUGAUACACAUGUAUUAUAUUGGGCUGAUGUCAGUGCAGAAAUUGCAUUUGUUGUACCAACACAAUCAUUUAUUAUGACUAAUUCAGAUUCAUUAGAAGAAGCUAGUUAUACUAGUGACACUAGUAAUGGUGCUCAGUCUUGGUUUGAAAGAAGUAUUAGUGAAAGUGGAGGAUCUCGUUCCUGCAGUAUUCCACAGAAUGCAAGAACAAUGUCACUUGAUUUUGAAAAGCAACCAUCAAGUUUUUCAGGCUCAGGUCCUCCUAGUUCCUCAAGUGCGGAUCCUGUUAGACCAAGAAGAACAACAAAACAUGCUUUACCAAUACAAACAGAUACAAGGAUUAUGGUGGUAUGGCUAGAAAGCUUGGAAGAUUAUACUCAUUUUCCAAUUGGAGAUCUUUUACCAUUUACACAUACUGGUUUAGAAUAUUGUAGAACAGUUCAACCUACUGAUGUACAAGUGAUUUUUCUUCAGUCCCUUGCUAGUGGACUUAUGAGAGUUAGAUUACAAGGUCCAACUUCUAGGAUAAAUUUAGCCACUCCAUUAAUUGAUGGCAUGGUUGUAUCUAGAAGAGUAUUAGGUACUCUUGUUAGGCAAACAGCAUUAAAUAUGGGUCGACGUAAAAGACUUGAUAAUGACAGCUAUCAUCCACCACAUGUUAGAAGGAGAUUAAAAAUUCAAGAUAUGGUUCAGAAAUAUAAAAGAAAUUUAACUGAACCAGAAUUAUUAACAGUUUUAUUUAGCAGUACUGAAACUGCUUGUUAGAUUUUUACGGGAUCAAUAGAAUAAAAUAUAUUUCUUAUAAUACACUUCAUUUGGAAAUCAAGAUCUUGAUAUUUAAAAAAAAAAUAAUAAGAUAAAAGAUAACAAGAGAGACAUAAUUGGCUGACAAAUACGACUAUUGCACAAGAAAGUAUUAUAAAACAUGUUAUAUAAAUAUCUACUGUAUAAUUAAAAACACAGAAAUAAGAAUGAAA